RNAcentral lists this unclassified non-coding RNA (225 nucleotides) under uncultured fungus. Its description in RNAcentral is "sequence contains ITS1, 5.8S rRNA gene". The stretch from base 177 to 225 matches the Rfam family "5.8S ribosomal RNA", at positions 1 to 49 of the family's 154-position model. Lineage: Eukaryota; Fungi. The record is from RNAcentral.
UCUCCGUAGGUUAACCUGCGGAGGGAUCAUUACUGAGUGAGGGCUCGGGCCCGACCUCCAACCCCAUGUGAACCGAAACCUGUUGCUUCGGGGGCGACCCUGCCGUUUGGCGCGGCGCCCCCGGAGGCUCAGCAAACACUGCAUCUUUGCGUCGGAGUUUAAAACAAAUUAAACAAAACUUUCAACAACGGAUCUCUUGGUUCUGGCAUCGAUGAAGAACGCAGC